GACGAACGCUGGCGGCGUGCUUAACACAUGCAAGUCGAACGGAAAGGCCCUGCUUUUGUGGGGUGCUCGAGUGGCGAACGGGUGAGUAACACGUGAGUAACCUGCCCUUGACUUUGGGAUAACUUCAGGAAACUGGGGCUAAUACCGGAUAGGAGCUCCUGCUGCAUGGUGGGGGUUGGAAAGUUUCGGCGGUUGGGGAUGGACUCGCGGCUUAUCAGCUUGUUGGUGGGGUAGUGGCUUACCAAGGCUUUGACGGGUAGCCGGCCUGAGAGGGUGACCGGCCACAUGGGGACUGAGAGACGGCCCAGACUCCUACGGGAGGCAGCAGUGGGGAAUAUGGCACAAGGGGCGGAAGCCGGAGGAAGCAACGCCGCGGGCGGGAUGACGGCCUUCGGGUUGUAAACCGCUUUCGCCUGUGACGAAGCGUGAGUGACGGUAAUGGGUAAAGAAGCACCGGCUAACUACGUG
Molecule: ribosomal RNA, 468 nt
Filed under: uncultured bacterium
Lineage: Bacteria
Description: partial 16S ribosomal RNA
Rfam family: Bacterial small subunit ribosomal RNA
Source: RNAcentral